RNAcentral lists this ribosomal RNA (253 nucleotides) under uncultured bacterium. RNAcentral's name for it is "partial 16S ribosomal RNA". It matches the Rfam family "Bacterial small subunit ribosomal RNA", at positions 524 to 776 of the family's 1533-position model. The record is from RNAcentral.
UACGGGAUGUGCAAACGUUAUUCGGAAUCACUGGGCUUAAAGAGUCCGUAGGCGGCUUGUUAGGUGAGGUGUGAAAUCCCCCGGCUCAACCGAGGAAUUGCGCUUCAAACCGGCAAGCUCGAGGAGGAUAGAGGUGGGCGGAACUGAUGGUGGAGCGGUGAAAUGCGUUGAUAUCAUCAGGAACACCGGAGGCGAAAGCGGUCCACUGGGUCCUUUCUGACGCUGAGGGACGAAAGCUAGGGGAGCGAACGGG